This 121-nucleotide small nucleolar RNA is filed under the name Echinops telfairi (small Madagascar hedgehog). RNAcentral's name for it is "Small nucleolar RNA SNORA70 (ENSETEG00000026562.1)". It matches the Rfam family "Small nucleolar RNA SNORA70". Rfam says of the family: snoRNA U70 seems to be exclusive to mammals and is a member of the H/ACA class of snoRNA which contain H (ANANNA) and ACA box motifs. H/ACA box snoRNAs are involved in the conversion of uridines to pseudouridines (5-ribosyluracil) a constituent of structural RNAs (transfer, ribosomal, small nuclear, and small nucleolar). The record is from RNAcentral. Lineage: Eukaryota; Metazoa; Chordata; Mammalia; Afrosoricida; Tenrecidae.
CUGCUGACAAUUCUGCUGAUCGCCCUCCUUCUUAUGGAGACCGAUGUGCAAUGGCUGCCUCCUUGAUAGUGUGGCAACCUGUUGGCAUGGAUAGCUUCCCUAAUGGAUACUGGAGUCAGUC